This 107-nucleotide small RNA is filed under the name Marmota monax (woodchuck). The record is from RNAcentral. Lineage: Eukaryota; Metazoa; Chordata; Mammalia; Rodentia; Sciuridae.
GCUGGGUGCAGUGGCACACACCUGUAAUCCCAGCAGCUUGGGAGGCUGAGGCAGGAGAAUCACAAGUUCAAAGUGAGCUUCAGCAAUUUAGCAAGACCUUGUCUCAA